Molecule: long non-coding RNA, 1325 nt
Filed under: Crocodylus porosus (Australian saltwater crocodile)
Lineage: Eukaryota; Metazoa; Chordata; Crocodylia; Crocodylidae
Description: lncRNA (ENSCPRG00005002692.1)
Source: RNAcentral
CUUGUCUCACCAUGCUGAGAUGGCAGGUGAUAGACUUACUGUACUGCUUCUGAGCACUCCUUUUAUGUUUGAGAUCAGAUAAAUGCUGCUUUAGCAUACAUACCGGUGUUGCUACAGUCCCAGCCUCCUCAUGCACAGGGCCACAUCAUCUGGCCUGUGGGGCUCCCCAGUGGCAGCAGUGUUAAAUGCUACAGCUCUAGGAACGCUUAGCUUUGCUACCGCUUCCUUAUCAUCAAAUUUCUGUACCAGUGGGGAGCCCCGCAGGCCAGGUAACAUGGCUGUGGGCCAGGUGUGACCUUUGGACCAGAGGUUGAACACCACUGAUGUAAUACAAAAGGAACAUACCCAGCACAUAAUUGGAAGCUGACAGUGGUUGAUAAAGCAUAGUGUUUAUAGUAUUGUUUUAAGUCUAAACAUACAUCCAAUGAGCCCUUAACUUGGUCUAGGUAUUAUCAAAUAGUGUUAAAGAUACUACUUUAAUCAUAGAACCAAGUGUAAUGAGGUUAAACCAUAACAGCUUUCCAAAUGCAUUGAAUACUUUUACCUCCCAUCUCUUUAGAAGGAUCUUUUCCCCCUCUCCCAUACCUCCAUUUUAUUCAUUCCAGUUCAGUACAGAGUACAAUACUAUAAAAAUACUUUUUAUUUCUUUUUCACCAGAGAAAAACAUAUUUUACAAACACAGGUCAUUCCAGUUUUCCUACUAUCAAGAUCCAAAUUUACAUUUCUAGCUCAUCACUAUGGACAGAAAAAUUGAUAUGGUCAACUCCCUUCCACAAAACCUGAAGAAAACACCAGGUUCACCUUUGAAUACAAAAUACUAAUGUCAGAGACAAACCCAGCCUUUCUUUGAAAAGGGCCAGCCCACCUUACGGCUUCCUAUUAACACACCACAGCUGAAGAUGUUCUGUUCUUUGACCGUCAGAUGAGGUGACCUGUCUGAGUGGGGUAGGAGUUCUUCCUGUUUCCUGAGUAAGACUUUUCAUCUCCUUCAGUGGCCAAGUAUACAAGGUAUCUACAUCUUUACGAGGUAGUGAAUACAAAUUCAUUGUUUUAAAUUCCACAGAGAAUAUAUGAUAAAAUUGUAGGCAUGUGCUACUUUGUUAAAAAGAAAAUGCUACCUAGGAUUUACAGGAACUACUGCUUUAUACAAGAGUUACUUUGAAAUCAAUAGAAACUGGAGAUUAACCUCUUCCUCCUUUCCAGAAGGUAUUAGAGUCUGUUACUUUAACUAAACAAGCUCUUCAUCUGCAAGCUGGUGCCCAGUUCUAGUUCCAGUCAAGAAGUGUUCCAUUAACCAGAUAAUUAGACAGACAAGGAGACCAAAG